CCUACGGGCGGCAGCAGUGAGGAAUAUUGGUCAAUGGGAGAGAUCCUGAACCAGCCAAGCCGCGUGAGGGAAGACGGCCCUAUGGGUUGUAAACCUCUUUUAUCGGAGAACAAAACCCGGGACGUGUCCCGGACUGCGUGUAUCCGAAGAAAAAGCAUCGGCUAACUCCGUGCCAGCAGCCGCGGUAAUACGGAGGAUGCGAGCGUUAUCCGGAUUUAUUGGGUUUAAAGGGUGCGUAGGCGGUCCGUUAAGUGUGCGGGAAAAUUGCGGGGCUCAACCCCGUCGAGCCGGUGAAACUGGCAGACUUGAGUUGGCGAGAAGUACGCGGAAUGCGAGGUGUAGCGGUGAAAUGCAUAGAUAUCGCGCAGAACUCCGAUUGCGAAGGCAGCGUACCGGCGCCAGACUGACGCUGAGGCACGAAAGCGUGGGGAUCGAACAGGAUUAGAUACCCCGGUAGUC
RNAcentral lists this ribosomal RNA (459 nucleotides) under uncultured bacterium. RNAcentral's name for it is "partial 16S ribosomal RNA". It matches the Rfam family "Bacterial small subunit ribosomal RNA", at positions 338 to 795 of the family's 1533-position model. The record is from RNAcentral.